AACGGCCAUGCCAUGCUGCAUAUACCGGUUCUCGUUAGAUCACCGAAGUCAAGCAUCAUUGGGCGCGGUCAGUACUUGGGUGGGUGACCACCUGGGAACACCGCGUGCCGUU
RNAcentral lists this ribosomal RNA (112 nucleotides) under Caerostris darwini. The record is from RNAcentral. Lineage: Eukaryota; Metazoa; Arthropoda; Arachnida; Araneae; Araneidae.